Molecule: long non-coding RNA, 511 nt
Filed under: Solanum tuberosum (potato)
Lineage: Eukaryota; Viridiplantae; Streptophyta; Magnoliopsida; Solanales; Solanaceae
Description: long non-coding RNA (STUB_LNC006626)
Source: RNAcentral
AAAAAGGAAAAACUACAUAAAUCCCACUAGUUUAGGACCUAAUUACUAGAAUUCAAGAUAGUUUCAAUAAUUACAUCCUAUACCAUAUUUUGUCUGUCAGAUACAUGUAUCAUUACUCGCGAGAUACAUGUAUCCGACGGUUUGAAUUAAAGAGAUACAUAUUUUAAUAAUAUUGAAUAACCUAUUUCCUUAAAUAAAGGAGUAAUUUAGGCUUAAUUAAUAAUUCUAACUGAUUUGCAGAUUCAUUAACAUAUUAAUUCUAACAAAUCUUCCUAAAAUAACGAAAUCCUAAAACCACAAGAGUUCUCUAAUUGAAAACUUCAUCUUCUUGGCAACAAGUUUGAAAAUUGUGGACUACCAUGGGUGAUGAGAGCAAGCUUGAUCUUUUCUUAAUCUCAAAUGCUAGAAGAGACAUUCUUGAAUCUCAGAGUUAGGCUCAGUGCCUAUGAAAUUCGUUUUUGAAUUUCUGUGAUUGAAAGGAACAGGAGAGAAAAGCCUGGUGGACGAAGAU